This 345-nucleotide unclassified non-coding RNA is filed under the name soil metagenome. RNAcentral describes it as "partial contains 5.8S ribosomal RNA, internal transcribed spacer 2, and large subunit ribosomal RNA". The stretch from base 1 to 120 matches the Rfam family "5.8S ribosomal RNA", at positions 35 to 154 of the family's 154-position model. The record is from RNAcentral.
GAUGAAGAACGUAGCGAAAUGCGAUAAGUAAUGUGAAUUGCAGAAUUCAGUGAAUCAUCGAAUCUUUGAACGCACAUUGCGCCCGCCAGCAUUCUGGCGGGCAUGCCUGUUCGAGCGUCAUUUCAACCCUCGACCUCCCCUUGGGGAAGUCGGCGUUGGGGACCGGCAGCAUACCGCCGGCCCCGAAAUGGAGUGGCGGCCCGUCCGCGGCGACCUCUGCGUAGUAAUCCAACCUCGCACCGGAACCCCGACGUGGCCACGCCGUAAAACCCCCAACUUUCUGAACGUUGACCUCGGAUCAGGCAGGAAUACCCGCUGAACUUAAGCAUAUCAAUAAGCGGAGGA